RNAcentral lists this long non-coding RNA (423 nucleotides) under Anser brachyrhynchus (Pink-footed goose). Its description in RNAcentral is "lncRNA (ENSABRG00000013231.1)". Lineage: Eukaryota; Metazoa; Chordata; Aves; Anseriformes; Anatidae. The record is from RNAcentral.
UUACUUUCCUCAUGCAGAAAAAUGGCCACGGUUCUCCUCACAUUCUUGGUCUCCAAGUCUGAACAUUUCAACUCAUUUGGAUUUGAAUCAUAAGCCCUCAAAACCACAACCUGGCAUUCACGUCUUCAAGUCACUCUGCCCUUGUGAUACAGAUAAUCAUCAGUUAGGCUGAAAUUCUUGCCUUCUAUAGCAUUGUUCCAAUUUGCCAGCAUCUGUUAAUGAGGACAUAGUAUAAAGCCACCUGUAAUGUCAGAAGGUCAUUGAGGAGAAGAGGCUGUCAGGGACGCCAGCUCUUCUGCCACUGGUCUUAUGAAUCACAGAUGUCCUGGACCACACAAGGCUUCUGAGAGCAUUGCAGCCACUGUCAAACUGUAUUUCAUCUGGGUGCUGGCAAAAAAAAAGGCAAAGGAGAACUAGCUUGCU